This is a long non-coding RNA of Rhineura floridana, 4198 nucleotides long. RefSeq lists it as uncharacterized. The record is from RefSeq and is a predicted model, not a curated record. Lineage: Eukaryota; Metazoa; Chordata; Lepidosauria; Squamata; Rhineuridae. The transcript is spliced from 3 exons.
GCCAGGCAGCCCCUAUUAAUAGCUGCCAAGAAGGUACGACGCCAGCCGGUGCCACUGCAGUCACGGGCUAGAAUUACUUUCCACCGCACGUGAGCGAAGGAACCGGCAGAGGUGCCGGAGGGAGGCAGGGAGAGGGAGACAGGGAGAGGGCGGCGCACCGACCGAGCGAGCCAGCCCAAUGGCCAACCCUCGGCACGGUGCCUUCCCGGAGGACCCAGGCGUCCUGGCUUGCCUCCCCCACUAUCACACGCCAGAAGCCCCCCCCCGGCCUGGCUGCCACCUGCUGUUCCGGCUGUGCUCUUCUCACGCCCCAACCAGCCCACCGGCCACACCGAGGGGAAGAAGAGGCACCUUCGCCAGCCCAGCCCUCUCUUUACCUCGGCGCAAGGCAAAAGCUUCCCUCGCUCACAGCGCCAUCCCAGGCACGCCUGGACACUCAGGGAGAGCUGCUCCAGAAGCAGGGCGUGCGGAGGAGCGCAGCCUGAAUUUCUCCGCCGUCGUCUGCUGUUAAAGACGCAGGAGCGCGAGGCCACUUGACAAAACAAAACGACACCGCCGGCAACCUCGCUGCCACCGGCCGAGGCCGCGACACUCGCCAGCCCCGUCGUCCCGUCCGCUGCCGGCAAAGGAGGGUUUAUUCUGAGGUGCAGCUAGACCCGUUUUGCGCCGCGUGAAACACGCUUUUGGGCAGUUUCCAGCAACUGGCACUCAGAAGCAGAUCCUGCCUGGAGAAUGGCAGUCCAGGUGGCUUCUAGAUGUGAGAAAGGGAAGGCAAGGGGAGACAUCUUGUUCUUCAGUCCAGCCCUCCUGUAGCCUUAAGGUGGAUGUGUUAACCAACUCCACUGAACCUUUCCGUAUGAGGUAAUCUGAAACGUCUAUCUGCUAUCUGGCCCAUUCACACAUACCAAAUCAUAUGACUCGAUGCUGCAGCAGCCAACAACUAACCAAUACUCGUGUGAAUCUGCCCACAGAGCCAAAGGGUUAUGCAUCCUCUCCUUAGCCGUCUUCUCCAUAUCUUUGGCCUUUCUACACACCAGUGACAACUCAGUCUUCUAAUUCAGCAAAAUAUUUUAAUGUCUCUCCAGAAAAUAGAAUAAACCAAGGAUAGCCAAACUCAAGGCAGGAGGUCUUCUUUUCUCGAGUGAAAAGGACUUUCUUUAAAUCCUUUCCUCUUCCCACUUACCCCCCCCCCAACCUCAGGACAAACAAACGCCAAGAGUCCCACACAACCCUUUCUUUGUGUCAGAUCAUCUUCCUGAAGUGCUCAAUAGCUUCUUCCGACUUCUGCAAUUCAGUCUUGCUUUGUUUCAGCUGGAAAAGAAAAAUAUAUAUUUGUCAAUGGAGCGCCUGUAUCAGUUUUGCCCAUUCCUGGGCUGGAUGAGGCUCUGCAAAUUAUCUGAAUUAAGCUGAUUUGGAGGGAGAUGGAUUUUAGAAUAGGGAUUCAGUCUGUAUUCGAGGGGGUUAUACUCUCCCUGGAAAAAAAACAGGCUUGCCAUUUGGGAGUGUUCCUAAAUGCAGCUUUGCAACUGGAUGACCAGAUAACAGCAGUGGUCAGGCUGCAUUCGCUCAGAAAUUAGGAAGUCACAUGUGGUUACAUUAACACAUACCUUAGGUUCAGGAGUGGAGCACCUGAGGUCCACGGGCCAAAUGCAAACCUCACAACCUCCCUACCCAGCACAUGAUCCCAGGUUCAGUCCCCAGCAUCUCCAUGUAGGGCUGGAAAUAUCCCGCCUGAAACCUUGGAAAGCUGCUGCCAGUCAGUGUAGGCAGUACUCAGCUAGAUGGACCAAUAGUCUGAGUCGAUAUAAGGCAGCUUCCUAUGUCAGCAAUCCUGCAACAGCUGCACUGGCAGCCAAUUUGCUUCUGGUCACUGUUCAAAGUGUUGGUGAUUAUCUUUAAAGCCCUAAAUGGAUUCGGACCAAGUGACAACAGGAAGAGCUUAUACUGAAGCCCCAGAGGCAUUGCAAUGUGUGACUUUCAGGAUAGGGCUCAGAAUUCUAAUGAUGGGUGUUUUCUUACCUUGGCUGCGUCUGCCUCCUGGACUUUGGCAGGCACCUUAGCUGCAUAGUCUGGGCUGCCCAUGCGCUCAUGCAGCCGGAGAAUUUGUUUAUGCAGCUCUGCUUUUUUGCCUGCCAGCUUAGAGAUCUCCUUCUCAGCGUCAAUCAAGCCCUGGCACGGGAGAUAGAAAGGUAGAGAACGUAAAAAGAGCCAGCUGGAUCAGGCCAAUGGCCCAGGUAGAUCAGCAUCCUGGUCUCACAGUGGCCAACUAAGCUGCCCCAAUGGGAAGCCCACAAGCAGGACCUGAGCACAAAAGGACUCCCCACUCCUGCUGUUUCUAGCAACUAGUAUUCAAGAAGCAUGCUGCCCCCAACUAUGGGGGCAGAGCUUAGCCAUCAUGGCUAGUAGCCAGCAGGUUUAUUAAUGGCUAGCAUGGAGAGUCUCCCAGCACAAAGACCCUUGCUGCUGCCUCCCCCCCCCAAAAAAGAAAAGAUACAGCUUUGCCCCUCUUAGUGAAUACUGUACUGAAGAUCAUGCUUUCAUGUGUCAGUGUGCAGGGUAAUCAAUACAGCAUGGACUGGCAUUUAUUAGUUUUUAGAAAAGGUUCCUAUAGUCCUCAUGUUUUUUGAGCAAAGCUCAGAAAACAUGACUGCAAUCUGUUCCUAAAAGUUUCAGAAUCCUAUUAUGGUUAUUUAUGACAAAAAUCAAUUAUUACAGUGUAGUCACAGCUUAUUCUUCUUGAAGACUAAGGCUAGACAGAGUCAGACAGCAGACUGAGGUGUCAGGAAAUGGUUACUGUGGGAGAGAACAGAGAACUGGGCCGUAAUGGACACUAGAGCCCCAAACUCAUUGUUGCAUAUGCGACUCUCAUUACCUUGAGCAGAAGGUGGACAGUGCAUUUAUCAGAAGCAAUAGCUACAGCACAACCAGAAGGGGGCACCCGCCCAGGCUCCAGGACCAGCAUUUGCUUGGAGGAGCUGAGAGUCCGGAUGUAUUCUGAGCAACGAGUCACAGCCUCUACCGUCUUGGAAUCCAGGCACUGCAAGUAACCUGGGAAGCGGAGGAAGAGACCCAAGUCAACGAGAAGGAGACGCUGGGCGGAUUGUGCUUCUCUUGACUUGUGCUAUAACAUUCUUUGUAAGACUUCAUUCCCCCCCCCAGCACGGCCUCUUAGAUCUACUGAAAGCAGCAUCUUAAUCAUUCCAUCCCUGUGCCAAACUGGGAACCCAGCCCUUCCAGGAGAUGCCUAGGAUUGAACCUGGGACCUUUUGCAUGCAACGCAGAUGCUCUACCACUAAGCUACAGACUUUCUGCAUGGAGAUCAGAGCCCAAAUCCCUGCUCAGCAUCCUGGAGCCUGUCGCACUCUUAGUCUCUUGCUUUGAGUCACAAGGCACUAUUGACUGAAAAGGCCUAACUCACACUGGCAAUUUGUUCUGCCUGGCGUUUUAGGAGUUACUUCACUUGAUGUUCUCGCUUGCUCUUGCUCUUUCUGCUCUAGCCCCAUGAUACAGAGCAUCUGCCUUGCAUGCAGAAGGUCCUGGGUUCAAGCCCCGGCAUCUCCGGGUAGAGCUGGGAGAGUUAGAUGGACCAAUGGUCUGACACAGUACGAGGCAGCUUUGUAUGGGUUGUAUCCAAUGCUACUCUCCUACUCGAAAUAGAUCCACUGAAGUUAAUGGACAUGACUGGCUUAGGUUCAUUUAUUUCACUGGGUCUACUCUGAGUAAGUUGGACACAACCCUAUGUUCCUAAUGGCAAACCUUCCCCACUCUUCUCACACUCCCUGUACUCACAGUCAGCUUUGGUCUUGGUGAGGUUGUAGUCUGCUCGGAGCGAUCGAACAGCCCUAAUAAUGCUCAACAUGAAGUCAACGGUGUGGUCCAAGCCCUCGUCCCUCCAGCAGUACUAAGGCAAGACAAGACAAGAAAAGGAAUGAAAUCAACAAAUCAGAACCACCACCUGGGGCCAGACACUGAUUUUCCUACUUUGACAACAAAUUGGUGUACACUCUGCAAUUAUUUUCCUGGGCUUUUUGUGUGUGUUUUGGAGAGAGGAUUUUUUCCCCCAGCCUUUGCCCACCUGGAACCCUCUGGAUGUUUUGGAAUACAGCUCCCAUAACCCUGCUUUCCUAGCUGGGGCUGAUGGGAAUUGUAGUCAAGAACAUCUGCAGGUUACUGGGUUGGUGAAGGCUGUUUUAAUUGA